This 476-nucleotide unclassified non-coding RNA is filed under the name Hevea brasiliensis (rubber tree). Lineage: Eukaryota; Viridiplantae; Streptophyta; Magnoliopsida; Malpighiales; Euphorbiaceae. The record is from RNAcentral.
GGCCCUUAGGAUAAUUAUCAAACCGCGUUCGAAGAAUAUGCUCCAAGUUCUUGGGAUGGCAAGUAACUGUGUAGAAUCCUUGCCUGCGAGCCAGGAAAGGAAGAGCUAUAGUACACGUUUGGUAAGUUGAUGCAGCACCAAUUUCCCGGAGAUUACUGGCGAUCCAGUCAUGGAUUUGUCUCCUGUUCUCGAAGAGAACCGGGAGGCUUCCCACUAUAGGCCAUACCUUAGGCCCAGUAAGUUUAUGAGCUAGGAGAUAGAACCAAAAGAGAUAAGCAGAUGUAGCACCUGCUAGGGUAAAAAAGAAAGGCAAGGUCUCCAUGUGAUCGAUAUUUGAGAUUUAGGAUGAUAGGACAAUAAGAGUAAUGAUAUAGAGAGGUGUUAUUUAUAUUAAAUGAUAUUAAAAUGAAGUUUUAGGUGGAAGUUGUUGCCUAGUUCGAAAUAUUGUGCUUUUGGGUUGAUAGGAUCCGUGUGAG